CAUUUUAUCCUGAAACCAUCCCCACUGUGUCCUACCCCCUGCCCCUACCCUGUUCGUGGAAAAAUUGUCUUCCAUGAAACUGGUCCCUGGUGCCAAAAAAGGUUGGGGACCGCUUUUCAAGAUAGGGAAACUGAGGCAAAUCAAGCAAGUAACUUGCUUAACGUUCCAUAGCAAGUAAGUGGAAGUGGCAGAGCUGAGAUCUGAAGCCAGGCACUGUGGCUCUGAAGCUCAUGCUCUUAAGUACCCUAAUAGAUGGCUCAUAUUGGCACAGGAAAUCGAUAAAUGGGAAAGAAGAGAAAGUCCCAGAUUCACACACAUAUCAAAAAUUUGAUUUUUGAAAAUGAUGGCAUUUCCAAAAAAUGGGAGAAAUAUAUCUCAGUCAAUACAUGGUAUUAGUAUUAAUAACUGGCUAUCUAUUUGGAAAGGAAACUAGUAAAAUCCCUGUAUUAGUUUUUUAUCAUUGCUGUAACAAAUUACCCAAAGUUAGCAGCUUAAAACAACACAGAUUUAUUCCCUCACAGUUUUGUAGGUUGGAAGUUUGAGGGAGCUCAGCUGGAUCCUCAGCUCUGGGUAUCACAAGGUCAAAAUCAAGGUGUCAGCUGGCCUG
Molecule: long non-coding RNA, 607 nt
Filed under: Homo sapiens (human)
Lineage: Eukaryota; Metazoa; Chordata; Mammalia; Primates; Hominidae
Description: non-protein coding lnc-RGS9-9:2
Source: RNAcentral